This 90-nucleotide ribosomal RNA is filed under the name Nocardia pseudobrasiliensis. RNAcentral's name for it is "partial 16S ribosomal RNA". It matches the Rfam family "Bacterial small subunit ribosomal RNA", at positions 1 to 93 of the family's 1533-position model. The record is from RNAcentral. Lineage: Bacteria; Bacillati; Actinomycetota; Actinomycetes; Mycobacteriales; Nocardiaceae.
CUUCAACGGAGAGUUUGAUCCUGGCUCAGGACGAACGCUGGCGGCGUGCUUAACACAUGCAAGUCGAGCGGUAAGGCCCUUCGGGGUACA